RNAcentral lists this non-coding RNA (30 nucleotides) under Rattus norvegicus (Norway rat). The record is from RNAcentral. Lineage: Eukaryota; Metazoa; Chordata; Mammalia; Rodentia; Muridae.
UCCUCACAGUGUGCUCCUUUCUCUUUCAGU